RNAcentral lists this ribosomal RNA (1716 nucleotides) under Triticum aestivum (bread wheat). RNAcentral's name for it is "partial small subunit ribosomal RNA". Lineage: Eukaryota; Viridiplantae; Streptophyta; Magnoliopsida; Poales; Poaceae. The record is from RNAcentral.
CGUAUUUCAGAAAACAUUGUUUACGCGGCCGACCUCCUUCGUGCCUGCCACGUCCGGAAAGCCCCCACGAUUGUGUUCAAAAUCGACUUUCGGAAGGCUUUCGACUCGGUUAACUGGUCCAGCCUCCUUUCCGUUCUCUCAGCCCGUGGAUUCAACUCCCGGUGGUGCGGUUGGAUCCGAGACAUUCUUUCUACAGGACACACCGCCGUCCUUCUCAACAGUAUCCCUGGGGACUGGAUCCUUUGCCGCAAUGGCCUCCGUCAAGGGGACGCGCUUUCGCCGUACCUUUUUAUUCUUGUCGCCGAUGUCCUCCAGCGUCUUAUUCGCUCGGCUUCCUCGGAUGGGAGGCUUGCUCACCCGAUUGACCCCUCGCUCCCCUGCCCUGUGCUCCAAUACGCCGACGACACCCUUAUCCUCUGCCGUGCGGACCCCCAGUCGGCGGCGACUCUCAAAACCAUCCUUGACUCUUUCGCCCUUGCUACCGGCCUGGCCAUCAACUUCCACAAGUCUGGGUUUAUUCCCAUGCACUGCCCCGACGAUCUGUCAGUCGCCAUGGUUACUACCCUCGGCUGUCCCAUCUCCUCCUUCCCUCAACCCUACCUGGGUCUCCCCCUCUCCCCCUGGAAACUUCCCAUCUCCGCUUACGACCCUCUUAUCCGCUCCUUUGACCGUUACCUCUCUGGUUGGCGUGCCCUCCUCCUGUCGUCAGGGGGUAGGAUGGUCCUUUGUAAUGCCGUUCUCAACAACCUCCCCACCUACUUCAUGUGCUCGUACUUGCUUCCCUCUGGUGUGAUUGAGUUGAUUGAUCGUAGGCGUCGUGCCUUUUUUUGGACCGGCAAGGAUACUUGCUCCGGUGCGCGUUGUCUAAUUGCUUGGGAUAAAGUGUGUGCAGAUGUGCAGGAAGGCGGCUUCGGGAUCCGGGAUCUCCGUCGGCAGAACAUGUGUCUGCUCCUCAACUUCGUCCACAAGCUUCAUCAACCCGACUGUCCGCCGUGGAAACGGUGGUUUCUCAGCACCACCAGGAGAGAUGUUGGCGACCCCUGCUCGGCUCCUUCUUUCCUUGGGGCCAUCAUUCUCAGCGGCCUCCCGACGUACAGGUCUAUCACCCGCGUGGAUCUCCGCGACGGGCGCGCCACCUCGUUCUGGCACGACCGUUGGCGGCCCGGCCGCGCCCUCUGCUUUGAGUACGCGGCAUUGUACUCUCACUCGACGCGCCCGAACGCCUCGGUGGCAGCAGUGUCCGCCGACGGUAUGCACCUCCAGAGGCGCCUCUCCUCCGUUGCCGCUUCCCAGCUUGCGGCUGUGCAGGCGAUCAUCAGUGACCUUGGGCUUGUGGACGCUCCGGAUCGUCGACUCAUGGCCUGGGGGGAGGACGUGGAGUUCAGCUCGCGCGCCGCGUUCAGGGUCAUGUCCCCCCACGGGGUGCUCUGCCAGUCUUCCAUCGACAUCUGGAGUUCGCGUCUCCCGCGGAAGAUCAAGAUCUUCGCGUGCCUUCUGGUCCGGGACCGCCUUAGUACCCGGAAGAACCUGCAUGCGAAGAGUUGCACCCCCUCCAGCACGUGCGCCUCCUGCCCCAACGAGGAGUCCACUUCUCACAUCUUCGCCGCCUGCGGUCGUGCGGUUUCGACCUGGACUCGCCUCGGUCUGGGCCCUUUCCCCUCGGUGGAUGCGAUCCUCGCCUCUCCCUCGCCGUCCGCCGACGUGGCUGCGUUGUGG